CAGCCGCCGCGGGAAUACGAAGGGUGCAAGCGUUACUCGGAAUUACUGGGCGUAAAGCGUGCGUAGGUGGUGGUUUAAGUCCGUUGUGAAAGCCCUGGGCUCAACCUGGGAAUUGCAGUGGAUACUGGGUCACUAGAGUGUGGUAGAGGAUAGUGGAAUUUCCGGUGUAGCAGUGAAAUGCGUAGAGAUCGGAAGGAACAUCUGUGACGAAGGCGACUAUCUGGGCCAACACUGACACUGAGGCACGAAAGCGUGGGGAGCAAACAGGAUUAGAUACCCCCGUAGUCCCUGUCUCUUAUAC
RNAcentral lists this ribosomal RNA (301 nucleotides) under uncultured bacterium. RNAcentral's name for it is "partial 16S ribosomal RNA". It matches the Rfam family "Bacterial small subunit ribosomal RNA", at positions 509 to 807 of the family's 1533-position model. The record is from RNAcentral.